ACUCCUACGGGAGGCAGCAGUUUCGAAUCAUUCACAAUGGGCGAAAGCCUGAUGGUGCGACGCCGCGUGAGGGAUGAAGGUCUUCGGAUUGUAAACCUCUGUCACUGGGGAGAAAACGCUUUGAGCUAACAGUUCAAUGCCUGAUUUAACCCGGAGAGGAAGCAGUGGCUAACUCUGUGCCAGCAGCCGCGGUAAUACAGAGACUGCAAGCGUUAUUCGGAUUCACUGGGCGUAAAGGGUGCGCAGGCGGCCGUGUGUGUCAGGUGUGAAAUCCCGGGGCUUAACCCCGGAACUGCGCCUGAAACUACAUGGCUAGAGUAUUGGAGAGGGUAGCGGAAUUCACGGUGUAGCAGUGAAAUGCGUAGAUAUCGUGAGGAACACCAGAGGCGAAGGCGGCUACCUGGACAAUUACUGACGCUCAGGCACGAAAGCGUGGGGAGCAAAAGGGAUUAGAUACCCCUGUAGUCCACGCCCUAAACGGUGCACACUAGGUCUUGGCGGAUUCGACCCCACCAGGGCCCAAGCUAACGCGUUAAGUGUGCCGCCUGAGGACUACGGCCGCAAGGCUAAAACUCAAAGGAAUUGACGG
RNAcentral lists this ribosomal RNA (589 nucleotides) under uncultured bacterium. Its description in RNAcentral is "bacterial SSU rRNA". It matches the Rfam family "Bacterial small subunit ribosomal RNA", at positions 335 to 916 of the family's 1533-position model. The record is from RNAcentral.